UAAUCUUGGUCUAUAUAAUAUGAGCAACGAUAACAAGUUGCAUAGUCUUCACACAUCUCCGCAACAGUUCGCCACUGAGCCAAUGUGACACCGAUACGUCAGGUGCGGGCUGUCCGAAGCUGCCGAGCGUGUGAUUCAAUGUGACGGAAUAUCGUCGGACUAUUCUCUAAGCGGGCAAGCUUUCGACGCUGACGCGGCGAUGAAGAAUUAUACUGUAAUACAUUGUAGUAUAAAAAGAAUAAAGAUCAUAUUAUGUAAAUGCUUUAUGAUGUGAUUAUUGUAUUA
Long non-coding RNA from Maniola jurtina (meadow brown), 285 nucleotides. RefSeq lists it as uncharacterized. The transcript has 2 exons. The record is from RefSeq and is a predicted model, not a curated record. NCBI's taxonomy places the organism in Eukaryota, Metazoa, Arthropoda, Insecta, Lepidoptera, Nymphalidae.